Molecule: long non-coding RNA, 1000 nt
Organism: Zingiber officinale
Lineage: Eukaryota; Viridiplantae; Streptophyta; Magnoliopsida; Zingiberales; Zingiberaceae
Exons: 3
Source: RefSeq, a predicted model, not a curated record
CGCCACGCGCCUUCUCAUCUCCUCCGCCGAAAAUCACCCCGUGCCCUAACCUCCUAGCGUCGGCGGUUCCUUCUCCUUCGAGUACAAGCUGUGGCAAGGGGAAAUCUUCCCUUUUCUCACCGAUUCUGCCCUAGAUGCCGGUACUGAGCCGAUCCUCUUCCCCCAUUUCUACUUCUUCCUCGUCUCCACAGUCGCUCCUUAGCCGUGCCCUAGAAUGAGCGCCGACCACUGUGCGGUGGAUCUGAGCCACACCGCCGACGCCUCUUCCUUUGCAGAGUGUCGUCGCCGCACUGGACAGAGCCGGCGCCACUGCCGAUCACCCCGUGCCGACGCCACCUUCUUCUUCCCUUGCCCUCUCUGCCUUCGUGUCGGCUGCCGUCUUCUUGUUGUGCCCUGGCGCCGCUGUCGACGCCAACAGACACCACCGGACCCUGCUAGUUCUUCACUGCCGGCUGAGGGUUGUUGCUCUUCUCGGUGACGAUCACUGGACUUGAAGAGCAUUCCGGCCACUGUUGCUUGCUUCCAUCGCCGGAGAAGGUCAGUGAACAACAGCAGGACUUAUGACCAUGAAGAGCAUUGCUGAUUGGAACAUGAAGCCAACACAAGAAACUGAUGCAACAUUGAUGAUCAUGUUGUUGACUAAGCAUCAUCAUGUUGGAGAACAAUUGUUGGUCCUCCAAGCUGAACGUUAUUGAUUUGGGUGGUUCUUCUAAGCAACCAAGUUGUGGUUCUGUGCUGGUCAAGAGAGGGAUGUGCUGCUCUUACUUCUUCGACUGUGUAUCACAGUAGUGGUUUGGUGAAAAGAAAGUAAGUGAUUGAUUCUUAUGAGGUGAUGAAUAGGGAUUAUAAUUGUUGCAAGUUCUAAUUUGUAUGAAUUAGUUAUGAAAUGAUUGAGGAGUUGAUGAUCCCAUUUAAGGUUCAAAAUUGGAUUUGGAUUUAGGACUGUGAUUCGAGACGGGCGUCUCGACAUCGGGUUGGCUCGAUUCGAUCUAUAUCGGAG